GGGGGAGGGGGCCAGGGCGCAGGCCUGUGCGGCAGCUCGCUGAGGUUGAGGGACAGCGAUGUCUUCUUGGUGGCCGCCUUUCCGUUUUCAAAAAUGUCAUCAGCUAUCCACCUUUGGAUUUUGUCAGCGGGACCUGGUCCGUUUGGGACCCCUGGAGUCAGGUGCUCUUGCACCCCUGCGCCCCAGUGACAGGCUGCUUCCUGGGACCCAGCGCACCUGAGUGCCAGGCAAGACGAAGGCUGAAAAGUGCAAGAACGGCACCUGCUCGACAAAUAUUUGUCCAAAUCUUCCAUCUUCUGCCUCCACAACAGCCUUUUGCCAUGAGAC
Molecule: long non-coding RNA, 327 nt
Organism: Suricata suricatta (meerkat)
Lineage: Eukaryota; Metazoa; Chordata; Mammalia; Carnivora; Herpestidae
Exons: 3
Source: RefSeq, a predicted model, not a curated record